AUGAGGAAGUUAUUCAAUUGCAUGUAUCCAGGACACGAGUUACCAGCCCAGCUGCCCAGGAUAAGUCAGAACACUGCGGGGCUGCAUGCUGCCUCUGAGGACCAGGAGAUGAGGAGGCCUGUGACCAACACCCCUCCGGAAUUCCACAGGUAGCAUGGUGGCCUGAAAUGAAUGCCCGGUACUUAGACUGUCAGUGCUUGGUUCUCAUCAACGAAGUGGCACAAGUUCAGGUAUGUCCUGUUGCUGACAAUUAAUCACUCUUCUGACCCAUUACAAAUAGACUUAACUUUGUAAUCAGUGUGAUCUUCAAUCCUACUUUCUUGACUGUGAUGUUGUUUGCCUGUGAAAAUAGCAUGGCUCGUGCCAUGAUCUCUGGUAGGACUCAUUGCCACACUCUGCUGCAGGGUACUUACUAACAAGGCAGACACUGUAUUUCCUGAGUUUUCCUUUAAGACUGCUUAAAGAUUGAGUUACUUCUGUAAUCUGUAUUCAGUGUUACAACACAGAACUUCCUUAUCCAGUUUGCCAGAUACAGUGUAUAGAGCUUGUAAAUAAAGACGCAUUUAAUUUCCA
RNAcentral lists this long non-coding RNA (573 nucleotides) under Chloebia gouldiae (Gouldian finch). RNAcentral describes it as "Erythrura gouldiae (Gouldian finch) lncRNA (ENSEGOG00005000311.1)". Lineage: Eukaryota; Metazoa; Chordata; Aves; Passeriformes; Passeridae. The record is from RNAcentral.